This is a small nucleolar RNA of Loxodonta africana (African savanna elephant), 75 nucleotides long. Ensembl annotates it as small nucleolar RNA SNORD86. The record is from Ensembl. NCBI's taxonomy places the organism in Eukaryota, Metazoa, Chordata, Mammalia, Proboscidea, Elephantidae.
UUUCACAGUGAUGUCUGACCAGGGCCCCUGGCCUCUGCUAUGGAGGUGACGGCCAGUCCCGGUGUCUGAGUGAUU